UACGUAGGGUGCGAGCGUUAAUCGGAAUUACUGGGCGUAAAGCGUGCGCAGGCGGUUCGUCGUGUCCGAUGUGAAAGCCCCGGGCUCAACCUGGGAAUGGCAUUGGAAACUGGCGGACUCGAGUGUGGCAGAGGGGGGUGGAAUUCCGCGUGUAGCAGUGAAAUGCGUAGAGAUGCGGAGGAACACCGAUGGCGAAGGCAGCCCCCUGGGCUAACACUGACGCUCAGGCACGAAAGCGUGGGGAGCAAAUAGG
RNAcentral lists this ribosomal RNA (253 nucleotides) under uncultured bacterium. RNAcentral describes it as "partial 16S ribosomal RNA". It matches the Rfam family "Bacterial small subunit ribosomal RNA", at positions 524 to 776 of the family's 1533-position model. The record is from RNAcentral.